RNAcentral lists this ribosomal RNA (101 nucleotides) under Danio rerio (zebrafish). The record is from RNAcentral. Lineage: Eukaryota; Metazoa; Chordata; Actinopteri; Cypriniformes; Danionidae.
UUCUGCAGCCCAACAGUGGUUACUCACUGAAGCUAAGCAGGCCUGAGCCGGGUCAGUACCUGGAUGGGAGACCACAUGGGAAAACUAGGUUGCUGAUGGAA